UGAUCCCUGGCUCAGGACGAACGCUGGCGGCAUGCCUAAUACAUGCAAGUCGAGCGAAUGAUGAAGAAGCUUGCUUCUUCUGAUUUAGCGGCGGACGGGUGAGUAACACGUGGGCAACCUGCCCUGUAGAUUGGGAUAACUCCGGGAAACCGGGGCUAAUACCGAAUAAUCCAUUUCCUCACAUGUGGAAAUGUUAAAAGACGGUUUCGGCUGUCACUACAGGAUGGGCCCGCGGCGCAUUAGCUAGUUGGUAAGGUAACGGCUUACCAAGGCGACGAUGCGUAGCCGACCUGAGAGGGUGAUCGGCCACACUGGGACUGAGACACGGCCCAGACUCCUACGGGAGGCAGCAGUAGGGAAUCUUCCACAAUGGACGAAAGUCUGAUGGAGCAAUGCCGCGUGAGUGAAGAAGGUUUUCGGAUCGUAAAACUCUGUUGUGAGGGAAGAACAAGUACGAGAGUAACUGCUCGUACCUUGACGGUACCUCAUAGAAAGCCACG
This 500-nucleotide ribosomal RNA is filed under the name Pasteuriaceae bacterium CL2.98. RNAcentral describes it as "bacterial SSU rRNA". It matches the Rfam family "Bacterial small subunit ribosomal RNA", at positions 14 to 495 of the family's 1533-position model. The record is from RNAcentral. Lineage: Bacteria; Bacillati; Bacillota; Bacilli; Caryophanales; Pasteuriaceae.